Aphis gossypii (cotton aphid) is the source of this 1004-nucleotide long non-coding RNA. RefSeq lists it as uncharacterized. Lineage: Eukaryota; Metazoa; Arthropoda; Insecta; Hemiptera; Aphididae. The record is from RefSeq and is a predicted model, not a curated record. The transcript is spliced from 6 exons.
AACUUUAUAAACAACAAUAACUAUAAAUUAUAAUAAUAAUCGUGUAUUUUAAACAAAAAAAAUAUAGGUAUAAUACAGGGAUGUCCGGAAGGGGGCCAUUACUCCCCUCCUCCCCGCCUGAGAUUUUUCGUGUCAGUUACUAAAUUUAGAAUAAAUCAGACACAAACAGACAACAGUGCGACUUUUUCGACUCUUCUACUUAACUGGAUCACUGAAUAAGUAGAAAGACGGGAAGAGUGGCAGAGUGUACUGACACAACGAGUAUCGAUAUUCACGAACAGGUGGCAACGUCUAAAAAUUGACUUGGUGACGUCCUACGAAACCAAAUUCAUAAAGAUGACUACCUAUCGGAAAUACAAAAUAUAGAAUAUAAACAAUAAUGGAGAGCGUAACGUAAAUUUGAGUUGAAAAUACAAUUUAGACGACAGUAAAUAAAUUAUAGUACCUAUACUACAACACCUCAGUUAAGCGUAAAUCAAUAUUGUAUAUUUUGCCGACAACAUCUCCAAUUAAAAUACGAAAAAAUAAUUUAAUAAUAAAAAAAAAAAAAAAACGUCAAUGUUUGGUGAUCGAUUUAUUGAAUGAGUUUUAAGCUUUUAAAAAGUCACCAUCCUGCUGUGUGGAAUUUGGGAUAUUCUAAAAUAUUGUUGUCGUAUUGAUGAAAAUAAUAAUAUAAAAAUAAAAAAAUGAGAAAGGAAAUCCGAUUUUUUUUGCUCCAAAAUUAUCUUCUACGUCUUGCUGUACACACGUAUAGAAUUUCAGGAAAAGGACAACUAUGAAGAUAGAGUGGCAAUUGGUGUCGAGUCGAAAAAUGAUUUCAGUAAUGCGCACCGCUGAGAACACUAGCCGACAGUACCCCACUUUCAAUAAAUAUUUCCUCUACGAACGAAAACCCUUAUAACCGUGAUUUGAAAAUUGUUAAAACAGUCGAACACAUAAAACCACUCCAUAUUAUAUUGAUGUAUAAGGUCAGUCGGUUAUUUGUGGCUGUAAUGCGAAUACUA